This 460-nucleotide ribosomal RNA is filed under the name uncultured bacterium. RNAcentral's name for it is "partial 16S ribosomal RNA". It matches the Rfam family "Bacterial small subunit ribosomal RNA", at positions 338 to 795 of the family's 1533-position model. The record is from RNAcentral.
CCUACGGGCGGCAGCAGUGAGGAAUAUUGGUCAAUGGACGAGAGUCUGAACCAGCCAAGUAGCGUGAAGGAUGACUGCCCUAUGGGUUGUAAGCUUCUUUUAUAUGGGAAUAAAAUGUUCCACGUGUGGGAUUUUGUAUGUACCAUAUGAAUAAGGAUCGGCUAACUCCGUUCCAGCAGCCGCGGUAAUACGGAGGAUCCGAUCGUUAGCCGGAUUGAUUGGGUUUAAAGGGAGCGUAGAUGGGUUGUUAAGUCAGUUGUGAAAGUUUGCGGCUCAACCGGAAAAUUGCAAUUGAUACUGGCAGUCUUGAGUACAGUUGAGGUAGGCGGAAUUCGUGGUGUAGCGGUGAAAUGCGUAGAUAUCACGAAGAACCCCGAUUGCGAAGGCAGCUUACUAAACUGUGACUGACAUUGAGGCGCGAAAGUGUGGGUAGCAAACAGGAUUAGAUACCCCAGUAGUC